UGAGGAAUAUUGGUCAAUGGGCGCGAGCCUGAACCAGCCAAGUAGCGUGAAGGAUGACUGCCCUACGGGUUGUAAACUUCUUUUAUAAAGGAAUAAAGUGAGGCACGUGUGCCUUUUUGUAUGUACUUUAUGAAUAAGGAUCGGCUAACUCCGUGCCAGCAGCCGCGGUAAUACGGAGGAUCCGAGCGUUAUCCGGAUUUAUUGGGUUUAAAGGGAGCGUAGGUGGACAGUUAAGUCAGUUGUGAAAGUUUGCGGCUCAACCGUAAAAUUGCAGUUGAUACUGGCUGUCUUGAGUACAGUAGAGGUGGGCGGAAUUCGUGGUGUAGCGGUGAAAUGCUUAGAUAUCACGAAGAACUCCGAUUGCGAAGGCAGCUUACUAAACUGCCACUGACAUUGAUGCUCGAAAGUGUGGGUAUCAAACAGG
RNAcentral lists this ribosomal RNA (424 nucleotides) under uncultured bacterium. RNAcentral's name for it is "bacterial SSU rRNA". It matches the Rfam family "Bacterial small subunit ribosomal RNA", at positions 355 to 776 of the family's 1533-position model. The record is from RNAcentral.